Molecule: ribosomal RNA, 497 nt
Filed under: uncultured bacterium
Lineage: Bacteria
Description: partial 16S ribosomal RNA
Rfam family: Bacterial small subunit ribosomal RNA
Source: RNAcentral
GACGAACGCUGGCGGCGUGCCUAAUACAUGCAAGUCGAGCGAUGAAGAUUGGUGCUUGCACCAAUUUGAAGAGCAGCGAACGGGUGAGUAACGCGUGGGGAAUCUGCCUUUGAGCGGGGGACAACAUUUGGAAACGAAUGCUAAUACCGCAUAACAACUUUAAACAUAAGUUUUAAGUUUGAAAGAUGCAAUUGCAUCACUCAAAGAUGAUCCCGCGUUGUAUUAGCUAGUUGGUGAGGUAAAGGCCCACCAAGGCGAUGAUACAUAGCCGACCUGAGAGGGUGAUCGGCCACAUUGGGACUGGGACACGGCCCCAACUCCUACGGGAGGCAGCAGUAGGGAAUCUUCGGCAAUGGACGAAAGUCUGACCGAGCAACGCCGCGUGAGUGCAGAAGGUUUUCGGAUCGUAAAACUCUGUUGGUAGAGAAGAACGUUGGUGAGAGUGGAAAGCUCAUCAAGUGACGGUAACUACCCAGAAAGGGACGGCUAACUACGUG